Molecule: small nuclear RNA, 107 nt
Organism: Hyaena hyaena (striped hyena)
Lineage: Eukaryota; Metazoa; Chordata; Mammalia; Carnivora; Hyaenidae
Source: RefSeq, a predicted model, not a curated record
GUGCUUACUUCGACAACACUUCUACAAAAAUUGAAACAAUAUGGAGAAGAUUUGCAUGGCCCUUGUGUAAGGAUGACAUUUAAAUUUGUGAAGUUCUCUGUAUAAGG